Molecule: non-coding RNA, 22 nt
Filed under: Arabidopsis thaliana (thale cress)
Lineage: Eukaryota; Viridiplantae; Streptophyta; Magnoliopsida; Brassicales; Brassicaceae
Source: RNAcentral
UGGAUAAUUUGGUAUAUAUGGA